GUGGGGAAUAUUGGACAAUGGGCGGAAGCCUGAUCCAGCAAUGCCGCGUGUGUGAAGAAGGCCUUAGGGUUGUAAAGCACUUUCAGUUGGGAGGAAGGGGCUAUGGUUAAUACCCAUAGUCAUUGACGCUACCGACAGAAGAAGCACCGGCUAACUCUGUGCCAGCAGCCGCGGUAAUACAGAGGGUGCGAGCGUUAAUCGGAAUUACUGGGCGUAAAGGGUGCGUAGGCGGUUAAAUAAGUUAGAUGUGAAAUCCCUAGGCUUAACCUGGGAACUGCGUUUGAUACUGUAUAACUAGAGUACUGAAGAGGUUAGUGGAAUUUCCAGUGUAGCGGUGAAAUGCGUAGAUAUUGGAAGGAACACCAGUGGCGAAGGCGACUAACUGGUCAGAUACUGACGCUGAGGCACGAAAGCGUGGGGAGCAAACAGGAUUAGAUACCCUGGUAGUCC
RNAcentral lists this ribosomal RNA (450 nucleotides) under uncultured bacterium. Its description in RNAcentral is "partial 16S ribosomal RNA". It matches the Rfam family "Bacterial small subunit ribosomal RNA", at positions 354 to 796 of the family's 1533-position model. The record is from RNAcentral.